CUCCUCCCACCCACCCCCACUUUUCCAGCCCCGUCCUUUCCCGCUCGCCCUCUCCCGCCCCACUCCUCCGGCGGGGCGCGCUGCCCGGUUCCCGCCGGGGUACUGGGUGGGGGGUGGGGGGGUCGGUGCGUCUGUGCGCGAGGGAGGGGGCCGUUCCCGCGGGGCGCGGGGGACCCCCCUCCCCUCGAGAGCCGCGCGGUGCAGUGACCCGACUCUCAUUCCUUUCCGGGUGGAUUUUGACCCCUGGCCACCUCCACCUGUCGACCUGUCCACCUGCCUGCAGGGUGGGGCCGCCUCCCUGCGGUCCUGUUGUGGGGUGCGGGCAGCGCCCCACCCUGCCGGCUGGUUCGCCGCGCGCGGAUCUGGCUGCUUCCCGGAGGGUUUUGUGCCGCCGCCGCCGCCGCCGCCGCCGCCGCGCUCUUUGUUUUAAUUGUCCGGAGUACAGGCGCCCAAAGCGGGUUCCUGUUUGAUUUGCAGCCCUGAGACCCCAUUUCUACUUGGGACCGAAAUGAACGUGGAUUCAGUAGACCCCCCAGCAAUUGUCUUCCAGCACCCAAACGAAGGGGGGUGAGGUGGAGGGGGACGAGGCUCUUGAAGUGUGCGAACAGCUUUAAAAAAAAAAUUUUUUUUUUUAGACACCCCUUUGGCCUUGCGGACUGGCGGCUCUCGCUAGCCGGGCUCUGUCGCCCCGUGGAGGGGCGCGGCGGAAAGGCGGGACCCCCAGCUGGCCGCCCCGCGGCGCGGAUCUGGUGGCGCAGAGAACUCGGGCCGGCGGAUGCUGUCUGAAACAGUUAAGGCACCUUUGAAAGUUCGCACAGGCUUCCCUUGGCACUGGUGGAUGUGUGCGGAUUGGAAACUAAGAAUAGAUUCCCAGUUGGGGAGCGCACAGCCCUUGCCCAGCGGACGUGCCACGGCGGCCGGCGCAAAAUAAAAGAGAAGAAAACAAAAACAGAAGAGUAGACUACAAUACUGGGCAUCGGGUGGUGGCGAGUGGCCAGCUCCUUGUUUGGUUCUAAGCCAGGAGAGGACUCCGGCCUGCAGGAGGGGUUCCGCUAGACUGCUGGAUAUUGUCGAACACCGAGGUGCUCUUCUUUUCCUUGAAACAGACAAGAGGGAAGAAAUCGAGUUCGCAGCUCGAGUGAUGCCCGUGGCGUAAAUGAAGGCCUUUACCUAGAGACCUGAUGUUGAAUCCUUGUGAUUGACCUGGAGGCCACAGUACCGCCCGCACCCACAGAGCAGUUGGAUGGGGCAACAGAAUCCGAUGGAAGGAGUUGAAGAGAAGGCACCAAAACAAGAAACUGAACUUCAUUCACUGAGAAAGGGGGCAGUUCAGGAUGAAUGCGGCCAGGAAGCUGCUUAAACUUUAAUUAUUCAUUUGUAUGCAUUUUCAGGAAGUCCCGUGUGCUCUGCAAACAUAUUUAAUAAUGAACUCUCAAAUGCAAGUGAGGUGCAGGGGCAACAAUUGCUCUGUUAGAGACAAAACGUGUUGGUGAUUCUGGGCGAUUCUUUUUGUUUUAUGGUGUGUGUGUGUUUGGGGUGGGGGUCGGGGCCGUACCUGGCAGGGCUCCGGUGUAGUUUCCAGCUGCAUCUGCAUGCUGCCGUACUGGCAGGAGCUCAGAGACUAUAUGCAGUGCCCAGAGUCAAAACGAGAGCUGCAGAAUAGAAGGCAGGCUCCUUACUGCCGAACCAGCUCUCCAGCCCCUGCAGCUCUCCUUUUGCAAGAAGCCUCCUCGGGCAACUCAGCUGCGGCCUCGUGGCCAAGAACAGCUUCUGGGAGGAAAUACUACACAGCUCAGUCCUAGUACCUCCCAAGGAAGCAUUUUCAGAACAUACAGGGUAACGUUUCCCAAAGUGGGAGAUUCCACAUCCCACCAGGGGUGGUGGACCAAGGUGGGAAGCAGAGGGGGCAUCAGCUGUCGUCACAGGUACAAUUCAGGGGUACCUUUUGUUAGUUGACUUAAUUUCCAGGAGGGGGGCACUUAGUGAUAUUUUUUCUUUUUUAUUCAAAAAGGAGGAGGUAGGUCAAGAAAGUUUGGAAAUUUCUGAUAUAAGUGAUGAUUGAUAGGUGAUAGGCUGAUAGUAAAUGGGUAUGAAUUACUUUAGAAAUCAAAGAUAUUUUGAGGAAGAGGGUUACUCAGAAAAAAAAAGUUGAAUGAGGCACAUAUUUUUAAAAAUUGCCUUCAAGAAAAACGUAAAAGAAAGUAUUUCCAACCCAAAACAUUGAACACAGCCUUAAAUAAAUGGAACUGCAAAGACCAAGCACCAAAUGAUAAGCAAUCACUUGAAGUUGUGUGUCAACAUAUUUUGUGCUCCUAAAAUUACAUCCUCUAUGCACUGUUGGCAGGAUAACUUUACAAAAAAAUCUUUAAGAAAUAUGGUUUUAAAAAAAGAAGGUAAAAGAAAAGAAAAAAGAAAUACGGUUUUAGCAUCUCCAGAAAGUCUAAGUGUAUCUGCCAAGUCACUGGAGGGCAAAAACAAAACACUUAGGAGACAAAAAGCAAAACAAAACAAUAAAAAACAAGCAAGAAGUGAGAGAGGCGACAGCUUAGAGGUGGUGGGUGAACACCCUCCCCCAGAUAAAUGUCUUCAUAGACCGUAACUUCGCAGGGGACGUGGCUCAGAGGGAGAGCACUUGCUUUGCAUGUAUGAGGCUCUGAGUUCAAUACCUAGCACCACCAGAAAAACUCAAUACCACAAAUGAGAAGUGUUUUGAAUGCUCCUUCUUAUUUCCAUCACCUGUAGAGCUUUGAAAAUUCCUUAUGUUCUUUAAAAUAAACCUGAAGAUCACAUCAGAAUCUUCUCAGAGGGUGGGACCCAGACUUCAAUAUUUUUUAAGUUCUAUUCAGUGGGUCUUAUAUGCAAUCAAGGUAAAGGAGCCCUGUAAAACCAAGCUUCCUUGGUCAACUCGAGAGAUUUCUGCUCUCUGCAUGGAAAAACUGGACAGCAAAUCCACGCAUGAAAGAGGACAGGGAGAGUGUUCGGGGAGGCGUUGAUCGCUAACAGCAAUAUGCCUUGCUCCUGUACCUAUUGCUGGACAGUAUAUAAUUGACCGCUCAUGUCGAGAAUUUAGCCAACUAACCUGAAGGAAGUUUGAUGGGAGACAAUAACUGCUUAUUUCUUGUUAACACAUUUUUUUUUAAAUUAAAGCACCUGAUUUACAAAGCUA
Molecule: long non-coding RNA, 3166 nt
Organism: Sorex araneus (European shrew)
Lineage: Eukaryota; Metazoa; Chordata; Mammalia; Eulipotyphla; Soricidae
Exons: 4
Source: RefSeq, a predicted model, not a curated record